This 920-nucleotide long non-coding RNA is filed under the name Gallus gallus (chicken). The record is from RNAcentral. Lineage: Eukaryota; Metazoa; Chordata; Aves; Galliformes; Phasianidae.
UCUAAAGUCACUACUGUAUUACACUGUGAAAGAAAGGUUUUUGACAACCAACAUUACUUUUCGUGAUGCUAUCUCUUCAACGCUUGAAUAACCAAACCUUUAGGAGAAUAUGCUCUCAGGGGACUGUCUGAAAAAACCAUGAUGUGGUGUUUGGCAUGUACUAAGAGACUUUUUUUUUUUUUUUUAAAUAAAAAGAAGAUGAAUGUUUUUACAUCCUUACCUUUUCACUGAAACACUCAAGCAAGUCUUGGACAUACCCUCGCAUUUCUUGCAAAAACUUAUACUGUUCACCAAUACCCCCAGAAGACCCUUCUAAUCUUUCAAUUGCCUUGGUAGAGUCCUCUCGGCUUUGCUGAUGUUUCUCAAACUGCUGCCGAUUAGCUUUGUGCAAUUCUUUCAUAGAGUCCAACCUGUCUUUAAGCUGUUUCUUUACCAAAUCAAUAGUAAUAGGAGUCAUCUCAUUACUGGGUGUUUUGAAAGGAACUGUAUUAUCUGUUUUUUGAGACUUGGCUUCCGAUGAUCCAUACGCAGCAUAAGUGUAUGGAAUGCCGUACGACGAACCAUAAGACAAUGUCUGGUAAGUGUUCUGGUAGUACAGAUUAUUCACUUCAGCAGGCUGACUUGGUUGAACCUGAAGUAUGUUGAUUCCUUUCCGUAUCUGUUCUUGCUCCCAUCUACUGAGUUCCUCAUCUUGUUCCCCUGCCACCAGCGCCUCAUCAUCACUCCCCUCAAUACCUAUUUCCUCAGCAAUCUUUUGCCUUUGGGAUUUUUCCUUCACUGUAAAAACUAUCCUCCUCUUCUCGUCAUCAUCUUCAUCAUCACUGGCAUCAUUUUCAUCUUCUCGAACAAGGCGGCUUUUACCUGGUUCACUGUCAACAGGAGUAAAGUCUCCAAGUUCACGAGCCAUUUGACGCUUUUUC